This 220-nucleotide ribosomal RNA is filed under the name uncultured bacterium. RNAcentral's name for it is "partial 16S ribosomal RNA". It matches the Rfam family "Bacterial small subunit ribosomal RNA", at positions 794 to 1017 of the family's 1533-position model. The record is from RNAcentral.
UCCACGCCGUAAACGAUGGAUACUAGCUGUUCGGAGCAAUCUGAGUGGCUAAGCGAAAGUGAUAAGUAUCCCACCUGGGGAGUACGCACGCAAGUGUGAAACUCAAAGGAAUUGACGGGGGCCCGCACAAGCGGUGGAGCAUGUGGUUUAAUUCGAUGAUACGCGAGGAACCUUACCAGGGCUUAAAUGUAGAUUGACAGGACUGGAAACAGUUUUUUCU